GCCAGACUCCUACGGGAGGCAGCAGUGGGGAAUAUUGCACAAUGGGGGGAACCCUGAUGCAGCGACGCCGCGUGGGUGAAGGAGUACUUCGGUACGUAAAGCCCUAUCAGCAGGAAAGAAAAUGACGGUACCUGACUAAGAAGCCCCGGCUAACUACGUGCCAGCAGCCGCGGUAAUACGUAGGGGGCAAGCGUUAUCCGGAUUUACUGGGUGUAAAGGGAGCGCAGACGGCAGUGCAAGUCUGGAGUGAAAGCCCGUGGCUUAACUACGGGACUGCUCUGGAAACUGUGCAGCUAGAGUGCAGGAGAGGCAGGCGGAAUUCCUAGUGUAGCGGUGAAAUGCGUAGAUAUUAGGAGGAACACCGGUGGCGAAGGCGGCCUGCUGGACUGUGACUGACGUUGAGGCUCGAAAGCGUGGGGAGCAAACAGGAUUAGAUACCCUUGUAGC
Molecule: ribosomal RNA, 447 nt
Filed under: uncultured bacterium
Lineage: Bacteria
Description: partial 16S ribosomal RNA
Rfam family: Bacterial small subunit ribosomal RNA
Source: RNAcentral